Molecule: ribosomal RNA, 463 nt
Filed under: Acinetobacter sp. S72a
Lineage: Bacteria; Pseudomonadati; Pseudomonadota; Gammaproteobacteria; Moraxellales; Moraxellaceae
Description: bacterial SSU rRNA
Rfam family: Bacterial small subunit ribosomal RNA
Source: RNAcentral
AUUGAACGCUGGCGGCAGGCUUAACACAUGCAAGUCGAGCGGGGGAGRUUGCUUCGGUAAUUGACCUAGCGGCGGACGGGUGAGUAAUACUUAGGAAUCUGCCUAUUAAUGGGGGACAACAUCUCGAAAGGGAUGCUAAUACCGCAUACGCCCUACGGGGGAAAGCAGGGGAUCACUUGUGACCUUGCGUUAAUAGAUGAGCCUAAGUCGGAUUAGCUAGUUGGUGGGGUAAAGGCCUACCAAGGCGACGAUCUGUAGCGGGUCUGAGAGGAUGAUCCGCCACACUGGGACUGAGACACGGCCCAGACUCCUACGGGAGGCAGCAGUGGGGAAUAUUGGACAAUGGGGGGAACCCUGAUCCAGCCAUGCCGCGUGUGUGAAGAAGGCCUUAUGGUUGUAAAGCACUUUAAGCGAGGAGGAGGCUCUCUUGGUUAAUACCCAAGAAGAGUGGACGUACUCGCAG